Molecule: ribosomal RNA, 301 nt
Filed under: uncultured bacterium
Lineage: Bacteria
Description: partial 16S ribosomal RNA
Rfam family: Bacterial small subunit ribosomal RNA
Source: RNAcentral
CAGCCGCCGCGGGAACACGUAGGUGGCAAGCGUUGUCCGGAAUUAUUAGGCGUAAAGGGCUCGCAGGCGGUUUCUUAAGUCUGAUGUGAAAGCCCCCGGCUCAACCGGGGAGGGUCAUUGGAAACUGGGAAACUUGAGUGCAGAAGAGGAGAGUGGAAUUCCACGUGUAGCGGUGAAAUGCGUAGAGAUGUGGAGGAACACCAGUGGCGGAGGCGACUCUCUGGUCUGUAACUGACGCUGAGGAGCGAAAGCGUGGGGAGCGAACAGGAUUAGAUACCCCGGUAGUCCCUGUCUCUUAUAC